UUUCACUGUGUGCUAUUUCAGAGCGCUGGCUUCUUUGAUGCAGUCAUCAUCUAUAUGGAAAAGAGGUGUGUGCAUGAAUCAAUGGUAUAGUUCAGCUGCAUCUGCAUUAGAAAGGCAUCAAAAUGAAUGAAAUGCAGGAACUGAAAUGUGCUCUCCCAGGAUGCUGUGCUAAAUCUGCACUUCAGAAAUACGCCAAGGCGCUUUCCGGGCGCGGGAUGCAGAGCCAGGAGGGUCCUACAAUUUCACAGCACAUUUCCUACAUUGCCAUUUUCACCUCUGCUGACUGGAGCACCUCAAGAUGGGCUGCUGACAGGUGCUGCUGGAGGCUGAGAGAUGGAAAAUCAAGGACGCUCUGAUGUGGUCUGUCACUAGCUUGAAGAGAAAAAAAAGCAGGAGAAGAUGGGACAAGGACGGCAUCAAGAAACUAAAACCAGACAAGGAACAGAAGGAAUAUUUAAGGAAAAACAUUGCAGCAUCUGGCAAAAUAUUUUCUCUUUAUAUCCUUCCUUGGGGUAAUGGUUAUUCACCAUCUGAAUGGCAUUGGUGGUUGUGACUCCUCAGGAUGUAAAUCACAGAAUCACAGGGUGAUCUGGGUUGAGAGGGACCAUAAAGAUUAUCCAGUUCCAACUCCCCCAUGCAUAAGAAGAGCAGCUGUACUGCACAUGUGAUGGGCUGAAUGGACAGCUCAGUCCCUGGGGUAGUGUCUGGUGACGGGUGGCUUUGAUGAGGCUUACAGGAAAGCCACUCAUGGUGGAGAGAAGCACUUGGGGUCCCAGCUGGUUCAUGUUUUACAUGCAGUCAUAAAAAAAAAUCAAACAAUCAUUUAGCGUGCAAUAAGCGGAUGCAGGAAGGUUUUUUUAAACCAGAGUCACAGCAGGUCGUGGCCAGCACUGAUUCCUUGCUGUUAUGGUCAGAGGUCCCCUCUGAUGCAUGGGGGGACUCUCCUAUCCUGUGCUGGAAACCCCUGUGGUCUUGGAGUCCCCCUGGCUCCAGGCCCAUGCAGGGGGAUGAAGGCACUGACUGCUGUUCAACAUCCUGUCCCACCAGAGACUGGAUGGAAAACACCGAUUUCCUUUCAGAGGAGAUUCAGAGAUGCAUUUAUUGAGGACUUGUUUCUCCUUGGAGGCAAAGGGAUUGGAAAGACAAAGCCCCUUUCCCUGUCAUGUUGAAGGCUCCAGGCAUGGAGCAAGAAGGUAACACUGAUAACACAAGGCUCUGUAACAUGCAAGAUCUAGGUUUCCUACACCAAACCACAAUGCAGACUCCUGGAUUCUUUGUCAGCCACCAUGGAGCCAGCAAACAUUAAAUUAUGUGCUGUCCCCACCUCCCCACCAAGGUUCUGACAGUCCCAAGGUGACAUCUCUUGCUGUUCCUUCUAGAAAAUGCCACAUGCUCUCUGGGGGUGUUUCCAAGCUAAAGUGCUCUUUCAAGCUUCAUGGCUGGGAAGAAGCCCCUGGGAUCAGAGGCAGAGGCAGAAGAAAACAUGACAAAGGAGGCACGAGGUGUUUGACCUGGUGGCAGAAGUAAUUGGCUCAGAUUUGUUUGGCUCAUGGAUAUUCACUGGUGCUGUUGGAGGUGGGAUGUAAGAGCACCACCAGCUCUGAGAUGCCACAUUUUCCUGCACAUGGAUGUAGUGACUGCUCUUUUGAAGGAGGUUAUUAAUCCUUGCCAUGUCAUUGCUUUGAGCGAUGGAGCAGUGAAAGACCUGUUCUGCAGCACUUAGAGAGGAAGCCCAAAGACCUGGCUCCUCAGAGAACAACCCAUACCCACCCACUUGGAGGACAGAGACUCCUCUCAAGAAUUUCACAGCCACUUUGGGAACCUUGAGGUUGAAAGCCCCUCCAUGGCAAAUACCUGGAGAAGCACUUCAUCUUCCCUGGCUAUAAGAAUUUGUCUUAACUAAAGAUUUUCAAUUAAAAGUCAAGACUGAAUUGCUGCAAAGUGCCAGAGACAAGAGUCAUUAAUACUGGAAUGCAAGUUUUAGAUAAUUUUUAAUAUGCUCUGCAAGACAUCCAUAAAAGGCCCUUAAUCAA
Taeniopygia guttata (zebra finch) is the source of this 2033-nucleotide non-coding RNA. NCBI's taxonomy places the organism in Eukaryota, Metazoa, Chordata, Aves, Passeriformes, Estrildidae. The record is from RefSeq and is a predicted model, not a curated record.